CAGGACGAUUACCGAAAAAAGGGCCGCGCCGUCGCCGCCCGCAUGACCUAGCGCGGAAGACACGGAUUGACACCGGAUUGAUGGAUUCGGGAGAGAAAAAAAAAACCACAAAAUUAGGUAAUUGAGGGCGAAGAUUUUGAUAAGAAAGGCGGAAGCCAACGGCUUGACCCAAUCGCGUGGCACUAGUCCGCAUAACCUUGAUGGAAACUAUUACUGUUGCAACAUCGGCAAAGUGCAAGGUCCUAUUGGACAUCGGCGCAAGACGGCGUCAGCACUUCUCGCGUACGAUUCGCCAUUUAUGGCGGUCAGAAUUCAAGUGUCUAGUAAUCAGUGGCCGACAGAACAAAC
Non-coding RNA from Caenorhabditis elegans, 348 nucleotides. The record is from Ensembl. NCBI's taxonomy places the organism in Eukaryota, Metazoa, Nematoda, Chromadorea, Rhabditida, Rhabditidae.